AUGUCCCUCAUCGAAAGUCUUCGUUUAUUGGGAAAGAAUCAAUAUACUUUUAAUGUCGAAUCGGGAUUCACUAAGACAGAAAUAAAGCAUUGGGUCGAACUCUUCUUUGGUGUUAAGGUGGUAGCUGUGAAUAGCCAUCGACUACCUGGAAAAGGUAGAAGAAUAGGACCUAUUCUGGGCCAUACAAUGCAUUACAGACGUAUGAUCAUACCCUUCAACCGGGUUAUUCUAUUCCACUUCUAG
This 243-nucleotide ribosomal RNA is filed under the name Triticum aestivum (bread wheat). RNAcentral's name for it is "partial small subunit ribosomal RNA". The record is from RNAcentral. Lineage: Eukaryota; Viridiplantae; Streptophyta; Magnoliopsida; Poales; Poaceae.